This is a long non-coding RNA of Octopus sinensis (East Asian common octopus), 589 nucleotides long. RefSeq lists it as uncharacterized. NCBI's taxonomy places the organism in Eukaryota, Metazoa, Mollusca, Cephalopoda, Octopoda, Octopodidae. The record is from RefSeq and is a predicted model, not a curated record. The transcript has 5 exons.
AUUUCGUUCUACAAUUCUAGAAGACGCAAGUUAGCUACAGCCGAGUUUUCGCGGCUAUAUCAGAUUUUUCCGUGCCGUUAUGAGAUUGUGAAGGGGGUCCUGGACUGUCAUAAUGCAAACGGGGAUAAUAAAAGUGCUUUAAUGCUGGCUCAAAACGUCAAAAAGAACAUAAUCUCCAAUCCAAAGUUUGCUAUUCUCUACGCUAAUACAAUCACAAACAACAACAGAGAUCUCCCUUCAAUUGAAAAGGCAUGCUCAUUCCUCGAGGGCGUUCUGAAGAAUCAUUCGGAUUGUUUUGAAGUGCUUUACUGUUUGGUGGAUUUGUUUGUGAAGUGUGGCCAUUUCAGGCGUGCAAGUGAAGUUUUAAAGGACACGCUGAGAGUUUAUAGCAAUACAAAAUUGCAUUGUAAAUAUGGAUGUGUACUGCUAAAAAUGAAAAAUUCUAGAGAUGCGAUGGAACAUUUUAACAAGGCAUUGCUUUUAGACCCGUCUAACGUGGAGGCUAGGAAAGCUGUCCUCUCUGUUGAUGUUGGUUGUUUUUCUGACGUUUCUACUCAGUUUGAUAUGGAUAUGGAACUACAAGAUUUGG